Molecule: ribosomal RNA, 249 nt
Filed under: uncultured Isosphaeraceae bacterium
Lineage: Bacteria; Pseudomonadati; Planctomycetota; Planctomycetia; Isosphaerales; Isosphaeraceae
Description: partial 16S ribosomal RNA
Rfam family: Bacterial small subunit ribosomal RNA
Source: RNAcentral
UCGAGAAUCUUCGGCAAUGGGCGCAAGCCUGACCGAGCGACGCCGCGUGGAGGACGAAGGCCUUCGGGUUGUAAACUCCUGUCGAGGGGGAACAAGGGGCGACGAAGAGUCGUCCUUGAGUGAUCCCUGGAGGAAGCACGGGCUAAGUUCGUGCCAGCAGCCGCGGUAAGACGAACCGUGCGAACGUUAUUCGGAAUCACUGGGCUUAAAGCGCGUGUAGGCGGCCCGGCACGUCCGUUGUUGAAAGCC